GAUGAACGCUGGCGGCGUGCCUAAUACAUGCAAGUCGAGCGAACGGACGAGAAGCUUGCUUCUCUGAUGUUAGCGGCGGACGGGUGAGUAACACGUGGAUAACCUACCUAUAAGACUGGGAUAACUUCGGGAAACCGGAGCUAAUACCGGAUAAUAUUUUGAACCGCAUGGUUCAAAAGUGAAAGACGGUCUUGCUGUCACUUAUAGAUGGAUCCGCGCUGCAUUAGCUAGUUGGUAAGGUAACGGCUUACCAAGGCAACGAUGCAUAGCCGACCUGAGAGGGUGAUCGGCCACACUGGAACUGAGACACGGUCCAGACUCCUACGGGAGGCAGCAGUAGGGAAUCUUCCUCAAUGGGCGAAAGCCUGACGGAGCAACGCCGCGUGAGUGAUGAAGGUCUUCGGAUCGUAAAACCCUGUUAUUAGGGAAGAACAUAUGUGUAAGUAACUGUGCACAUCUUGACGGUACCUAAUCAGAAAGCCACGGCUAACUACGUG
This 497-nucleotide ribosomal RNA is filed under the name uncultured bacterium. RNAcentral's name for it is "partial 16S ribosomal RNA". It matches the Rfam family "Bacterial small subunit ribosomal RNA", at positions 28 to 507 of the family's 1533-position model. The record is from RNAcentral.